UCAGCGGCGGACGGGUGAGUAACACGUGGGUAACCUGCCUGUAAGACUGGGAUAACUCCGGGAAACCGGGGCUAAUACCGGAUGCUUGAUUGAACCGCAUGGUUCAAUCAUAAAAGGUGGCUUUCAGCUACCACUUACAGAUGGACCCGCGGCGCAUUAGCUAGUUGGUGAGGUAACGGCUCACCAAGGCGACGAUGCGUAGCCGACCUGAGAGGGUGAUCGGCCACACUGGGACUGAGACACGGCCCAGACUCCUACGGGAGGCAGCAGUAGGGAAUCUUCCGCAAUGGACGAAAGUCUGACGGAGCAACGCCGCGUGAGUGAUGAAGGUUUUCGGAUCGUAAAACUCUGUUGUUAGGGAAGAACAAGUACCGUUCGAAUAGGGCGGUACCUUGACGGUACCUAACCAGAAAGCCACGGCUAACUACGUGCCAGCAGCCGCGGUAAUACGUAGGUGGCAAGCGUUGUCCGGAAUUAUUGGGCGUAAAGCGCGCGCAGGCGGUUUCUUAAGUCUGAUGUGAAAGCCCCCGGCUCAACCGGGGAGGGUCAUUGGAAACUGGGGAACUUGAGUGCAGAAGAGGAGAGUGGAAUUCCACGUGUAGCGGUGAAAUGCGUAGAGAUGUGGAGGAACACCAGUGGCGAAGGCGACUCUCUGGUCUGUAACUGACGCUGAGGCGCGAAAGCGUGGGGAGCGAACAGGAUUAGAUACCCUGGUAGUCCACGCCGUAAACGAUGAGUGCUAAGUGUUAGAGGGUUUCCGCCCUUUAGUGCUGCAGCAAACGCAUUAAGCACUCCGCC
This 798-nucleotide ribosomal RNA is filed under the name Bacillus sp. M_Sw_oHS_03/11_8_3(2). Its description in RNAcentral is "bacterial SSU rRNA". It matches the Rfam family "Bacterial small subunit ribosomal RNA", at positions 92 to 873 of the family's 1533-position model. The record is from RNAcentral. Lineage: Bacteria; Bacillati; Bacillota; Bacilli; Caryophanales; Bacillaceae.